This 131-nucleotide small RNA is filed under the name Klebsiella pneumoniae. RNAcentral's name for it is "RtT sRNA". It matches the Rfam family "RtT RNA". Rfam says of the family: This family represents a bacterial cis-regulatory element known as RtT RNA. The exact function of RtT is unknown although it is thought that it may be involved in changing the cellular response in relation to amino acid starvation. The record is from RNAcentral. Lineage: Bacteria; Pseudomonadati; Pseudomonadota; Gammaproteobacteria; Enterobacterales; Enterobacteriaceae.
UAUUCUGUCCCACGGGGAAGGAUGAGAAGCUUCGAAUAAGGUUCGACUCGAGCGAAGCGAGAGAACGUUGCCGCAGGCAACGGCCCGAAGGCGAAGCGCUUUAGCGCCGAGUAAUCCUUCCCCCACCACUG